This 72-nucleotide transfer RNA is filed under the name Bos taurus (domestic cattle). It matches the Rfam family "tRNA". Rfam says of the family: Transfer RNA (tRNA) molecules are approximately 80 nucleotides in length. Lineage: Eukaryota; Metazoa; Chordata; Mammalia; Artiodactyla; Bovidae. The record is from Rfam by way of RNAcentral. RNAcentral also lists the same sequence under 5 other names.
UCCUUGGUGGCUCAGAUGGUAAAGCAUCUGCCUACAAUGCAGGAGACCUGGGUUCGAUCCCUGGGUCAGGAA